GAAAAAACAUUAAAAGGAAGAGAGAGAAAGAGGAGUGUCCCCUCUCUCCUGGCGCCGCCACUACCUCCAUCUGUCCGGCGAAUCGGACAGCCACCAGAAACCUCACCCAGCAGACGUCGGCGAGCCACUGUGUCUCUCUGUCACUUCUCUCCGGUGGAAGAUCCAAGCAUGGAACUUCAUUCGAAGACAAAACUUAAAAUGAGAAAUCCAGAACGAUUAACCGGUGACUUCUUUCCUAAUACUCUGAUUACUUUUGUGAAUUUUUAUUAUUUUCAUUUUUAAAGCUUUAUUAGAGGUUGUAAUACAUGUCUAUCAUAUUGUUUGAGCCACUUUUGAAUAGGCUGGGUAUAAUCUAUUAAUACUUUAUGAUUAACAAGUUGCUAAAACUGAUUUUAAUUUUUAGUUUUGUUUACUGUUGACGCAGCGGAGGUGUUUCAAAUCGAGAUAUACUCAUACUUUAAUCUUCGUAUAUUUUUAUACUAGUUCCUUAAAAUAUUGUUUUGUAAUGAGAAUCAAUAAUCAUUUUACUCUGUUAUGUGAUUUGCUUGUCAACUUUCAUCAUAUCUACAAUUUCUCAAUUUUUUUCAAAUUAACUAAUAUGGUAAACUCGAUCAAUGGGAUUUCCUCUUCCUUCAAAUUUGAUUCGCAACAGUCAUAUGUCUAAAUGGGGCAACUAGAGAUGUCUGAUUGAUAUUGCUUAUUCGAAUUAUUGUAAUUUUCAUCUUCCUUAGUCAAUCAAGACAUGGUUAGUAGCAUAGAUUACUUGAUAUGACGAAAGGAUUAUGGAAAUUUGCAUAUAUCUUUAUGUUUCUCUUUUUAUGCUCUCACGAAUAUGCUGCUGAUCGAGAAGAAUAUUUUCUUUCCAUAUCUUUACAUUGGCUGAUCAGCCCUCUUUACUAUAUAAUAAGGACUUCGAUCUCAUUCUUUUCUCAUGCUUGUGAUCACUAAAAACAGCUCUUGAACUCUCUUUCUCUCUAAAGGAAAAAGACAGCCCAUGGAGCUCUCUCUUCACGAAUAACUAGCAGUCCUACUCUUUCAUCAAAAUAUUAUUUAAGAUUUCAUCUUUUUCUUUUCAAUGACUGAUCACUGGUGAAAGACUCUGGAAUUCUCUUCUCCAUUACAAUAUAACUAGAACCUCUUAAUCGGAGGACACUUCUCUUCUUGAAUACUGAUAAACUGAAUCGUCUUUUCUAUGUUCUCUUGUUCUUUGUUGGUAGUUGUAUACCAAUUUUGGCUAUUGAUGCUCGGAUUGCUGUGGUAUCAUUGGUUAUUGUUGUUGUUUCUGUAUUGUUACUUCCUUACAGGUUAGUUUCUAUCGAAGUACUCUUCAUGCUUAAUGUGGUAGUUGUAUUUUUCAUUCUCUUGUCGCAUCAAAUAUUUGUUUUGGAAAACUCGAAUGUUUUAAGCAUUUCGGGAGAAGCAAACAAGCAUGUCCUUUUAUUUUUAAUGCGCUUUGAUAAGUUUUCGGAAACUUUGUGCAUUAGAAAUCAUGUUUAUACGAUUUACUCAUAAUUUAACUUCAAAGCUUGUUGCUCUUUUUCUUGUUUGUUUGAAAUCAUGAUUAUCAUAAUAUACAACUUAAUUGCAGCAAAAUACCUUUGUGGUUCACUUCCCAGUCUACUAACCAAAUAAUUGUAUAAUGUGGUAGCUAAGAGUAUUUCUUAAUGUUCCAGAAAAUAUGUUAUGCUCUAUUUUCCAAGAUUGGUGUGAAAUUUGUACUUCACUUUUUGUGGUGCUUAACAAGGCCGUUAUGGAAGUGGGCUUAUUAGUGCUUCCGUCUCUAUGCUAUUGUGUGUGCGUGUGCAUUUCUUUUGUGUGAACAGGGCAUUAGUUCGAUAUCGGGGGCAUUGAAGAGUUGUCUAGGACUUGGGAGUUUUCAAGGAUCGUCUAGUCAAAGCCUACUCGUCUCGAAUUCAUUGUCUUUUCCAUUUCACUAGUAGCAAUUAAGUCAUCUAUUCACAUUUUUCCGUGCCAGCUAUGAUUCAUUUCCGAUGAUGUUCUCUCUGCGAUGCCUGGUUAGCAAUUAAUUCCUCUACUCACAUUUUCACGUAGCUGCUAUGAUUCGUUGAUGUUGUUCUCUCUGUGAUGCCUGUUUGACUGCAUUUUGUUCAAUUAGCUCAGAAUUCAGAUAUGGCAAUCUUGAUUUUCAAAUGUUUCACUUGUAUUCUUGACUGCCAACAGGUUACGAGCUAGAUCUUCGUGAUAUUCUCUACUCUCUUCUUGUCCGAGGCUUUCUAUGGAGAUUUUUGAGGUAGUUAUUUGUCAUCUCAGUGGACCUUCUUACUUCUAUUUAUGAUAUUGUUCUACAUUAGAGAUAACAUCAUUUGACACUUGUGUUUUCUUUCAAAUUUAUUGUAAUACAUUAGAGGUUUUUGCACAUGACAACUAAGUUUUGGGGAUUUAG
Long non-coding RNA from Solanum tuberosum (potato), 2404 nucleotides. RefSeq lists it as uncharacterized. Lineage: Eukaryota; Viridiplantae; Streptophyta; Magnoliopsida; Solanales; Solanaceae. The record is from RefSeq and is a predicted model, not a curated record. The transcript has 5 exons.